This 509-nucleotide ribosomal RNA is filed under the name uncultured microorganism. RNAcentral's name for it is "bacterial SSU rRNA". It matches the Rfam family "Bacterial small subunit ribosomal RNA", at positions 9 to 511 of the family's 1533-position model. The record is from RNAcentral.
GAGUUUGAUCUUGGCUCAGAUUGAACGCUGGCGGCAGGCUUAACACAUGCAAGUCGAGCGGGGGAGAUUGCUUCGGUAAUUGACCUAGCGGCGAACGGGUGAGUAAUACUUAGGAAUCUGCCUAUUAAUAGGGGACAACAUCUCGAAAGGGAUGCUAAUACCGCAUACGCCCUACGGGGGAAAGCAGGGGAUCACUUGUGACCUUGCGUUAAUAGAUGAGCCUAAGUCGGAUUAGCUAGUUGGUGGGGUAAAGGCCUACCAAGGCGACGAUCUGUAGCGGGUCUGAGAGGAUGAUCCGCCACACUGGGACUGAGACACGGCCCAGACUCCUACGGGAGGCAGCAGUGGGGAAUAUUGGACAAUGGGGGGAACCCUGAUCCAGCCAUGCCGCGUGUGUGAGAAGGCCUUAUGGUUGUAAAGCACUUUAAGCGAGGAGGAGGCUCCUGUAGUUAAUACCUACAGAGAGUGGACGUUACUCGCAGAAUAAGCACCGGCUAACUCUGUGCCAG